GGUGGCUCAUUGGUAGAGCACUUGCCUUGCAUGCAUGAGGUCCUGAGUUCGAUUCCUUAGCACCA
This is a non-coding RNA of Dipodomys ordii (Ord's kangaroo rat), 65 nucleotides long. NCBI's taxonomy places the organism in Eukaryota, Metazoa, Chordata, Mammalia, Rodentia, Heteromyidae. The record is from Rfam.